UAAGCGGAGGAAAAGAAACUAACAAGGAUUCCCCUAGUAACUGCGAGUGAAGCGGGAAAAGCUCAAAUUUAAAAUCUGAUGGUCUUUGGCCGUCCGAGUUGUAAUUUAGAGAAGCGUCUUCCGCGCUGGACCGUGCACAAGUCUCCUGGAAUGGAGCGUCAUAGAGGGUGAGAAUCCCGUCUUUGGCACGGACACACCAGGGCUUUUGUGAUGCGCUCUCGAAGAGUCGAGUUGUUUGGGAAUGCAGCUCAAAAUGGGUGGUGAACUCCAUCUAAAGCUAAAUAUUGGCGAGAGACCGAUAGCGAACAAGUACCGUGAGGGAAAGAUGAAAAGCACUUUGGAAAGAGAGUGAAACAGUACGUGAAAUUGUUGAAAGGGAAACGCUUGAAGUCAGUCGCGUCGACCGAGACUCAGCCUUGCCUUGGCUUGGUGUACUUCUCGGCUGACGGGUCAGCAUCAAUUUUGCCCCUUGGAUAAUGGCGAGGGAAAUGUGACACCUUUGCGGUGUGUUAUAGUCCCUCGUCGCAUGCAAGGGUUGGGAUUGAGGAACUCAGCACGCGCCUUUGGGCGUCGGGGCNUUGCCCACGAUACGUGCUUAGGAUGNUGGCGUAAUGGCUUU
Molecule: ribosomal RNA, 619 nt
Filed under: Russula sp. GAL14054
Lineage: Eukaryota; Fungi; Basidiomycota; Agaricomycetes; Russulales; Russulaceae
Description: LSU rRNA
Rfam family: Eukaryotic large subunit ribosomal RNA
Source: RNAcentral